Molecule: ribosomal RNA, 266 nt
Filed under: uncultured archaeon
Lineage: Archaea
Description: partial 16S ribosomal RNA
Rfam family: Archaeal small subunit ribosomal RNA
Source: RNAcentral
ACACGACUACAUUAGACUACCCGCGUAGUCCCAGCCCUAAACGAUGCGCGUUAGGUGUAUCGGUGACCACGAGUCACCGAGGUGCCGAAAGGGAAACCGUGAAACGUGCCGCCUGGGAAGUACGGUCGCAAGGCUGAAACUUAAAGGAAUUGGCGGGGAGCACCACAACGGGUGGAGCCUGCGGUUUAAUUGGACUCAACGCCGGGAAGCUCACCGGAUAAGACAGCGGAAUGAUUGCCGGGCUGAAGACCCUGCAUGACCAGCUG